Molecule: ribosomal RNA, 1425 nt
Filed under: uncultured organism
Description: 16S ribosomal RNA
Rfam family: Bacterial small subunit ribosomal RNA
Source: RNAcentral
CAGGCUUAACACAUGCAAGUCGAGGGGCAGCAUUUCAGUUUGCUUGCAAACUGGAGAUGGCGACCGGCGCACGGGUGAGUAACACGUAUCCAACCUGCCGAUAACUCGGGGAUAGCCUUUCGAAAGAAAGAUUAAUACCCGAUGGCAUAAUUAGACCGCAUGGUCUUAUUAUUAAAGAAUUUCGGUUAUCGAUGGGGAUGCGUUCCAUUAGGCAGUUGGUGAGGUAACGGCUCACCAAACCUUCGAUGGAUAGGGGUUCUGAGAGGAAGGUCCCCCACAUUGGAACUGAGACACGGUCCAAACUCCUACGGGAGGCAGCAGUGAGGAAUAUUGGUCAAUGGACGAGAGUCUGAACCAGCCAAGUAGCGUGAAGGAUGACUGCCCUAUGGGUUGUAAACUUCUUUUAUAUGGGAAUAAAGUUUUCCACGUGUGGAAUUUUGUAUGUACCAUAUGAAUAAGGAUCGGCUAACUCCGUGCCAGCAGCCGCGGUAAUACGGAGGAUCCGAGCGUUAUCCGGAUUUAUUGGGUUUAAAGGGAGCGUAGGUGGACAGUUAAGUCAGUUGUGAAAGUUUGCGGCUCAACCGUAAAAUUGCAGUUGAUACUGGCUGUCUUGAGUACAGUAGAGGUGGGCGGAAUUCGUGGUGUAGCGGUGAAAUGCUUAGAUAUCACGAAGAACUCCGAUUGCGAAGGCAGCUCACUGGACUGCAACCGACACUGAUGCUCGAAAGUGUGGGUAUCAAACAGGAUUAGAUACCCUGGUAGUCCACACAGUAAACGAUGAAUACUCGCUGUUUGCGAUAUACAGUAAGCGGCCAAGCGAAAGCAUUAAGUAUUCCACCUGGGGAGUACGCCAGCAACGGUGAAACUCAAAGGAAUUGACGGGGGCCCGCACAAGCGGAGGAACAUGUGGUUUAAUUCGAUGAUACGCGAGGAACCUUACCCGGGCUUAAAUUGCAUUUGAAUAAUCUGGAAACAGGUUAGCCGCAAGGCAAAUGUGAAGGUGCUGCAUGGUUGUCGUCAGCUCGUGCCGUGAGGUGUCGGCUUAAGUGCCAUAACGAGCGCAACCCUUAUCUUUAGUUACUAACAGGUCAUGCUGAGGACUCUAGAGAGACUGCCGUCGUAAGAUGUGAGGAAGGUGGGGAUGACGUCAAAUCAGCACGGCCCUUACGUCCGGGGCUACACACGUGUUACAAUGGGGGGUACAGAAGGCAGCUACCUGGUGACAGGAUGCUAAUCCCAAAAGCCUCUCUCAGUUCGGAUCGAAGUCUGCAACCCGACUUCGUGAAGCUGGAUUCGCUAGUAAUCGCGCAUCAGCCAUGGCGCGGUGAAUACGUUCCCGGGCCUUGUACACACCGCCCGUCAAGCCAUGAAAGCCGGGGGUACCUGAAGUACGUAAGGGCAAGGAGCGUCCUAGGGUAAAACUGG